RNAcentral lists this ribosomal RNA (251 nucleotides) under uncultured prokaryote. Its description in RNAcentral is "partial 16S rRNA". It matches the Rfam family "Bacterial small subunit ribosomal RNA", at positions 525 to 775 of the family's 1533-position model. The record is from RNAcentral.
ACGGAGGAUGCGAGCGUUAUCCGGAUUCAUUGGGUUUAAAGGGUGCGUAGGCGGACUAUUAAGUCAGUGGUGAAAUCCUGCAGCUUAACUGCAGAACUGCCAUUGAUACUGAUAGACUUGAGUUUGGUUAAGGUAGGCGGAAUGUGUGAUGUAGCGGUGAAAUGCGUAGAUAUUAGGCAGAACACCGAUGGCGAAGGCAGCUUACUGAGCCGACACUGACGCUGAGGCACGAAAGCGUGGGGAUCGAACAG